Molecule: long non-coding RNA, 485 nt
Organism: Suncus etruscus (white-toothed pygmy shrew)
Lineage: Eukaryota; Metazoa; Chordata; Mammalia; Eulipotyphla; Soricidae
Exons: 3
Source: RefSeq, a predicted model, not a curated record
GAGCUGGAAGUUCCAGCCCUCCUCUCAUUGUCUCUGAGGAUUGUUGCAAAAAUGACUUUUAUUUUUCUUAAAACCUAUAGAUGAGUGAGACUAUUCUGCAUUUCUCUCUCCCUCUGACUUAUUUCACUCAGCAUGGUAGAUUCCAUGUCCACCCAUGUAUAGGAAAAUUUCAUGACUUCAUCUCUCCUGACAGCUGCAUAAUAUUCCAUUGUGUAUAUGUACCACAGUUUCUUUAGCCAUUCAUCUGUUGAAGGGCAUCUUGGUUGUUUUCAGAGCCUGGCUAUUGUGAAUAGUGCUGCAAUAAAUAUAGGUGUGAGGAAGGGGUUUUUGUAUUGUAUUCUUGUGUUCUUAGGGUAUAUCCCUAGGAGUGGAAUAGCUGGGUCAAAUGGGAGCUCAAUUUCCAGAUUUUGGAGGAAUCUCCGUAUUGCUUUCCAUAGAGGCUGGACUAGACGGCAUUCCCAACCACAGUGAAAAAGAGUUCCUUU